This 253-nucleotide ribosomal RNA is filed under the name uncultured bacterium. RNAcentral describes it as "partial 16S ribosomal RNA". It matches the Rfam family "Bacterial small subunit ribosomal RNA", at positions 524 to 776 of the family's 1533-position model. The record is from RNAcentral.
UACGGGGGGGGCAAGCGUUGUUCGGAAUUACUGGGCGUAAAGGGCUCGUAGGUGGCCAACUAAGUCGGACGUGAAAUCCCUCAGCUUAACUGGGGAACUGCGUCCGAUACUGGAUGGCUCGAGUUUGGGAGAGGGAUGCGCAAUUCCAGGUGUAGCGGUGAAAUGCGUAGAUAUCUGGAGGAACACCGGUGGCGAAGGCGGCAUCCUGGACCAACACUGACACUGAGGAGCGAAAGCCAGGGGAGCAAACGGG